AACUUCGCACUGCGCGAAAGCGCGACGAGGGGAACCCGAGUGCCUCUCCAUUUCGGGGAGGCUUUCACAAGCCUAAAAAGCUUGUGGAAUAAGGGCUGGGCAAGACGGGUGCCAGCCGCCGCGGUAAUACCCGCAGCUCGAGUGGUGGUCGCUUUUAUUGAGCCUAAAACGUUCGUAGUCGGCCUUGUAAAUCCCUGGGUAAAUUGGGCCGCUUAACGGUUCAAAUUCCGGGGAGACUGCAAGGCUAGGGACCGGGCGAGGUCAGAGGUACUUUCGGGGUAGGAGUGAAAUCCUGUAAUCCCGAAGGGACCACCUGUGGCGAAAGCGUCUGACUUGAACGGCUCCGACGAUGAGGAACGAAGGCUAGGGGAGCAAACCGGAUUAGAUACCCGGGUAGUCCUAGCUGUAAACUCUGCCCGCUUGGUGUGGCCUGUCCUUCGGGGGCAGGCCGUGCCGGAGCGAAGGUGUUAAGCGGGCUGCUUGGGGAGUACGGCCGCAAGGUUGAAACUUAAAGGAAUUGGCGGGGGAGCACCGCAACGGGAGGAUGCGUGCGGUUUAAUUGGAUUCAACGCCGGAAAACUCACCUGAGGAGACCAGCGUAUGUGGGUCAAGCCGAAGACUUUACCCGAGCAACAGCUGGAGAGGUGGUGCAUGGCCAUCGUCAGCUCGUACCGUAGGGCAUUCACUUAAGUGUGAUAACGAGCGAGACCCCCAUCCCUAGUUGCUAACCCCUCCGAAAGGAGGGGUGCACUCUAGGGAGACCGCUUCCGCUAAGGAAGAGGAAGGAGAGGUCGACGGUAGGUCAGUAUGCCCCGAAUCCUCAGGGCAACACGCGCGCUACAAAGGACAGGACAAUGGGUUCCAACCCCGAAAGGGGAAGGUAAUCCCGAAACCUGUUCGUAGUCCGGAUUGAGGGCUGUAACUCGCCCUCAUGAAGGUGGAUUCCGUAGUAAUCGCGGAUCAACAGUCC
RNAcentral lists this ribosomal RNA (970 nucleotides) under uncultured Thermoplasmatales archaeon. RNAcentral's name for it is "bacterial SSU rRNA". It matches the Rfam family "Archaeal small subunit ribosomal RNA", at positions 346 to 1314 of the family's 1478-position model. Lineage: Archaea; Methanobacteriati; Thermoplasmatota; Thermoplasmata; Thermoplasmatales. The record is from RNAcentral.